CGGAACGGGUGAGUAAUGCGUGACCAACCUGCCCCAUGCUCCAGAAUAGCUCUUGGAAACGGGUGGUAAUGCUGGAUGCCCCAACUUGACGCAUGUCUUGUUGGGAAAGUGUUUAGUGGCAUGGGAUGGGGUCGCGUCCUAUCAGCUUGUAGGCGGGGUAAUGGCCCACCUAGGCUUCGACGGGUAGCCGGCCUGAGAGGGCGGACGGCCACAUUGGGACUGAGAUACGGCCCAGACUCCUACGGGAGGCAGCAGCC
This 257-nucleotide ribosomal RNA is filed under the name uncultured Gardnerella sp. RNAcentral describes it as "partial 16S ribosomal RNA". It matches the Rfam family "Bacterial small subunit ribosomal RNA", at positions 98 to 355 of the family's 1533-position model. The record is from RNAcentral. Lineage: Bacteria; Bacillati; Actinomycetota; Actinomycetes; Bifidobacteriales; Bifidobacteriaceae.